Molecule: non-coding RNA, 24 nt
Filed under: Mus musculus (house mouse)
Lineage: Eukaryota; Metazoa; Chordata; Mammalia; Rodentia; Muridae
Source: RNAcentral
UAUUAUAAUGUCUACUCCAGCUUG